GAUCGCUCACGGGUGUGUGCGCAGCAGCGGGGCCCCGCGGGCAGGGCCGCCCCCUCCGCGGGCCGCCGCAGCCGCGCUCCAGCACAGAGCCCGUAAGACCUGUUCAAAAGCAAACCCUGUUUCUGAAGGGAACAGGCAGAAAUUCCCAAGGGGCGGAGACAGGGAACAGCUGUCAGACAGCAGUCCCCUGUAUGGAACUCGGCAGAGCCUCCAUGCAAGAGGAAAGACACUGAAGGACUCGGCUGUCUGUUAAGGUAUCAGCAUUGUUCUUGUCAGCAGCAGAAUGCAUCGGCAGGUUUCACCAUGUGAAGCUCUGUAGGAUGAUACACCAGUGUAGGUAAGCUAUUUUAAAAAAUUGUAUAUGUAUAUGGCUACUUUAGUCUCUGAUUAAAAAGGUGGGGCAUGUUUUUGUCAGAUGUUUGUAAUUUGUUAAGGCUUUUUUGUUGUUGCAAAUUAAUUUCUCUAAACUGGACAGUGGUAAUCAAGUUGGUUAUAUGCAUCAGGACAUACUUUUUCUCCAAUGGAAAAGUCAAUGUAAUUAUGUUUGAAGCUUCUAAUACAAGAUGAUGUUAAUUUUAGUCCUAUUUUUAUAAGAACUUUUUUAAAAUUUCUUUUUGCAAGAUAAUAAAAACCCAAAACAAUGCUAUGAGCAAAACAACUAAAUUACUUGAACGGUAAUUAGCAAAGACAUCAGGUCAAAGGAAUGCAAACAUACAAGUCUAUUGCUAUGCCUCACUGCAAAACUCUAGUAUGCUGUGUUAGUAGAUAUGUUAAAUCUUUCAGCAGUUGCAGAGAAAUGAGUAUCGACAUGUCUGGUUGUACCUCAGUAUUUUUAAUACUUUCAAGAUGUAUAUCUAAUACUCAGAUGUAGUCAGAUUAAUUUAUUCAGACAUUUCUUAACUUCAAGCUUAUUUCUGGUGGAGACAGAAGCUUUCUAUUAGCAAAAAGUUAUAUAAGCCUUUCUUCUGCAUUUCACCUAAACAGAAUAGUGACAUAAGAACUUGAGUAACUGCUAAAACAUUAUUGCUGAGAUAUCAGUUUAUUUGAUAGUAAGGCUGAAUAAAAAAAGCAAAAUCUUUUUUGGGGACUAAAGUCCUGGUUUUCAUAAAGUAAGUGUUGCUAACAUCUUUGAGCUGGAUUAACACGGUUCUAUGUUCAUGUGCUAACUUUCAGAUGGGAAAUGAAAAGACGGUAUUAUUUCCCCUAAUUAUAUAUAAAGUUGAUGGAGGGAAAGGAAUAGCAAAUUCUUCUUGUUGCCAGUAUAUAAUAGAUAUUUACUUAUAAUUCCAAUUUGGGGUUGACGACUUCAAUAUAACAUCACUUGAAUUAUUUUACAUAUUAAUUUUAUUAAUUAUAUCUAUUAUGUAUAUAUAUCAUAUUAUUACCUGAAUUCUAAAUGGUGUAUUACUUGCAGUAUUAUAGGGUCAGUGGUGCUUUAUGACGGUUCUGUAAUUGAAGCAAAGUGAAAUUUCUCCUGAGGCAAGCAGGGUGAAACUCAAAAGCAUUAUUGCUAUCUGAGGAGGAUCAAUUGCUGACAUCUCCCCAGGACACACUUGACAGAUGCACCUUUUUUAAGAGUGUCUUUUGGAGAUAAACUAAGGUGGAUUUUUUCCUCCUAUUGUGAAGGCCAUACAGUGAAUGAGAAACAGUAUGAACAAAGAUACCUUGUGUUGGUGCAUGCAGUCUUCAGAUGCUUUGACCCAGCACUCUCUGGGUAAAUUAUCUGACUUUUUUGUAGCUUUCAGGAUCACAGACUUCAAAAUUAGCCAUUUUAACUAAAAAUUUGGGUGCAACAUUCAGUACAAAGGAACAAAGUUGUCUCCCCAAGUAAUAGAUUUUGAUUUAUCAAGUUUUCAAGUAGGGCCAUGCUCUAAGCUGACAAGAAUGCAAGCAAAAUGAUUUGCCUUUUUUUUUCCUCUAGGCGUCAUUUAGCAUUUGGUAACAUACAUAUUUAAGAAUAAGUGUAGUUGACUGUAUUGGUGAUUAUAGACACAGUUUUGUUCAAAAUUAUUGCAUAUUUUUAUAACCAAGUUUCCAGAAUAUUUGAAAUAUAGGAUACCUUAUAUAUUAUUAUAAACUAAAUAUAUAAUAAAUUAAUAUUUCACACCGGCUUUGUUUAUAUCUAGGACAGGUCAGGAUAUUUCCAUUGAAACCAAAGGUCUAACCUCAAAGUUUUAGUGCUAUCAUAGUAAAGCUUAUUACUAGGAUUGUUUACUUUUAUAACUUUAUGUAUAGUACUACACUUCACCCUUCAGCUUCUACAGUUGUGCUUUCCUACCCAUCUUCAUAUAGCUCAGAAAGAUGCAGGAAGGUAAGAUUUAGCAUAGAAUUUUGAGAUGGGGGUUAAAAAAAAAAAAACAAACCAACCAGAAAAAACUAAAAGCAAACCAAACAGAACCUUA
Long non-coding RNA from Egretta garzetta (little egret), 2402 nucleotides. RefSeq lists it as uncharacterized. The record is from RefSeq and is a predicted model, not a curated record. NCBI's taxonomy places the organism in Eukaryota, Metazoa, Chordata, Aves, Pelecaniformes, Ardeidae. The transcript is spliced from 3 exons.